AUAUAAUAGUCAUUUCUCAUCUUUUAUUUUUAAGGGAGAUUCUAAUAAUCUAAACAAUAUGAAUUCUUUUUUCUUCAUUUUUUUCUCUUUAAUUUCUCUUUUAUUUCUUUAAGCAUCCAAAUAGAGGUUUAGAUUUCUUCUUUCAUUUUCAAUCUAUUCUCCUUGUUCCAUUUAUUUGUUGGUUUUUCAUUUAUUGUUUUUGCCAUGAAAAUUUAUAACAAGUUCGCAAUCAAUUUACUGUAUUUUCAUUAGUUUUAUGGUGUGAUGACAGAUCGUGAUUCUCUUCCUUUCCAUGCCUUGUGCAGUUGAUAAACGGCAAAUCAGUUUUAAUG
This 332-nucleotide unclassified non-coding RNA is filed under the name Hevea brasiliensis (rubber tree). The record is from RNAcentral. Lineage: Eukaryota; Viridiplantae; Streptophyta; Magnoliopsida; Malpighiales; Euphorbiaceae.